Paramuricea clavata is the source of this 339-nucleotide non-coding RNA. The record is from the annotation of a GenBank genome assembly. Lineage: Eukaryota; Metazoa; Cnidaria; Anthozoa; Malacalcyonacea; Plexauridae.
UUGUCAACAGGAUGUGUUCGCACUGCUUGUUCCCAGCUUGUUGACAAGUUGUCAACGGCUUGUUUACAAGUUGCUACAAGGUUGUUGAGCUCAACAGACGUGUUACAAGUUGUUCCAACAACUUGUUAUCGUCCUGCAAUUCAACAAUUUGUCAACAAGUUGUGAGUGAUAACCUUGUAGCAACUUGAUGAAAUAACAGCAUUGUUACAACUUGUUGACAAGCUUGCUACAAACCUGUUGCGAACACAUCUUGUUGACAAGUUGUGAGAUUUUUACGUGUGUAGUUGUUGUAACAAGUUUGGAACAUGAAGCUGUUAACAACGUGUAACAAGCUUGAUG